UCACACCUCAAGCUCUAAGCUUGUUUUGAGCCAAUCUUUUGUUCUUUUGAUGAACAGGCUUGAAAUGCAAGUGGCGAUAUUCAGUUUGGUGCCCGGCAUUAUAGGGCUCUGUCACAUGCUUUAGUGGCCCAGAUUGGUAUAUAUUCGGCCUUUUUAAUAAUCACAUUUUAAAAGA
Molecule: unclassified non-coding RNA, 175 nt
Filed under: uncultured Eurotiomycetes
Lineage: Eukaryota; Fungi; Ascomycota; Eurotiomycetes
Description: sequence contains ITS2
Source: RNAcentral